Molecule: ribosomal RNA, 497 nt
Filed under: uncultured bacterium
Lineage: Bacteria
Description: partial 16S ribosomal RNA
Rfam family: Bacterial small subunit ribosomal RNA
Source: RNAcentral
GAUGAACGCUGGCGGCGUGCCUAAUACAUGCAAGUCGAGCGAACAGACGAGGAUCUUGCUCCUCUGACGUUAGCGGCGGACGGGUGAGUAACACGUGGAUAACCUACCUAUAAGACUGGGAUAACUUCGGGAAACCGGAGCUAAUACCGGAUAAUAUAUUGAACCGCAUGGUCCAAUAGUGAAAGACGGUUUUGCUGUCACUUAUAGAUGGUUCCGCGCCGCAUUAGCUAGUUGGUAAGGUAACGGCUUACCAAGGCAACGAUGCGUAGCCGACCUGAGAGGGUGAUCGGCCACACUGGAACUGAGACACGGUCCAGACGCCUACGGGAGGCAGCAGUAGGGAAUGUUACGCAAUGGGCGAAAGCCUGACGGAGCAACGCCGCGUGAGUGAUGAAGGUCUUCGGAUCGUAAAACUCUGUUAUUAGGGAAGAACAAAUGUGUAAGUAAAUAUGCAGGUCUUGACGGUACCUAAUCAGAAAGCCACGGCUAACUACGUG